RNAcentral lists this ribosomal RNA (127 nucleotides) under Mesocricetus auratus (golden hamster). The record is from RNAcentral. Lineage: Eukaryota; Metazoa; Chordata; Mammalia; Rodentia; Cricetidae.
GUCUGUAGCCAUACCACCCUGUACAGACUUGAGCCAUUCUGACCUCAAAAGCUAAGAAGGGUCAUAUCUGGUUAUUAUUUGAAAGGCAAAGUAUCCCAAUUUAAUGGAAUCUGGAAUUUUAAAAACU